CAGGAAGUUCCAGAGAUGGAUUCGUGCUCGAAAGAGAACCUGCACACAGGUGCUGCAUGGCUGUCGUCAGCUCGUGUCGUGAGAUGUUGGGUUAAGUCCCGCAACGAGCGCAACCCUUGCCAUCAGUUGCUACGAAAGGGCACUCUGAUGGGACUGCCGGUGACAAACCGGAGGAAGGUGGGGAUGACGUCAAGUCCUCAUGGCCCUUAUAGGUGGGGCUACACACGUCAUACAAUGGCCGGUACAAAGGGCAGCGACACAGCGAUGUGAAGCCAAUCCCGAAAAGCCGGUCUCAGUCCGGAUUGGAGUCUGCAACUCGACUCCAUGAAGUUGGAAUCGCUAGUAAUCGCGGAUCAGCACGCCGCGGUGAAUACGUUCCCGGGCCUU
Molecule: ribosomal RNA, 387 nt
Filed under: uncultured Hydrogenophaga sp.
Lineage: Bacteria; Pseudomonadati; Pseudomonadota; Betaproteobacteria; Burkholderiales; Comamonadaceae
Description: bacterial SSU rRNA
Rfam family: Bacterial small subunit ribosomal RNA
Source: RNAcentral